GGGGAUUUAGCUCAGUGGUAGAGUGCUUGCCUAGCAAGCACAAGGCCCUGGGUUCGAUCCCCAGCUCCG
Non-coding RNA from Rattus norvegicus (Norway rat), 69 nucleotides. The record is from Rfam. NCBI's taxonomy places the organism in Eukaryota, Metazoa, Chordata, Mammalia, Rodentia, Muridae.